AUUGAACGCUGGCGGCACGCCUUACACAUGCAAGUCGAACGGCAGCACGGGGGCAACCCUGGUGGCGAGUGGCGAACGGGUGAGUAAUACAUCGGAACGUAUCCUGUGGUGGGGGAUAACUAGUCGAAAGAUUAGCUAAUACCGCAUAAGCUCGGGAGAGGAAAGCAGGGGACCUGAAAGGGCCUUGCGCGAUUGGAGCGGCCGAUGUCCGAUUAGCUAGUUGGUGGGGUAAAGGCCUACCAAGGCGACGAUCGGUAGCUGGUCUGAGAGGAUGAUCAGCCACACUGGGACUGAGACACGGCCCAGACUCCUACGGGAGGCAGCAGUGGGGAAUUUUGGACAAUGGGGGCGAACCCUGAUCCAGCCAUGCCGCGUGAGUGAAGAA
This 385-nucleotide ribosomal RNA is filed under the name uncultured bacterium. RNAcentral describes it as "bacterial SSU rRNA". It matches the Rfam family "Bacterial small subunit ribosomal RNA", at positions 29 to 412 of the family's 1533-position model. The record is from RNAcentral.